UACGGAGGGUGCAAGCGUUGCUCGGAAUUAUUGGGCGUAAAGGGCAAGUAGGUGGUCUCAUUUGUCUGGGGUGAAAGCCUUGAGCUUAACUCAAGAAGUGCCCCAGAAACGGUGAGACUGGAGUCCUGGAGAGGGUCGUGGAAUUCCCGGUGUAGCGGUGAAAUGCGUAGAGAUCGGGAGGAACACCAGAGGCGAAAGCGGCGACCUGGACAGGUACUGACACUCAACUGCGAGAGCGUGGGGAGCAAACAGG
This 253-nucleotide ribosomal RNA is filed under the name uncultured bacterium. RNAcentral describes it as "partial 16S ribosomal RNA". It matches the Rfam family "Bacterial small subunit ribosomal RNA", at positions 524 to 776 of the family's 1533-position model. The record is from RNAcentral.